RNAcentral lists this ribosomal RNA (506 nucleotides) under uncultured bacterium. RNAcentral describes it as "partial 16S ribosomal RNA". It matches the Rfam family "Bacterial small subunit ribosomal RNA", at positions 30 to 523 of the family's 1533-position model. The record is from RNAcentral.
AUUGAACGCUGGCGGCAGGCCUAACACAUGCAAGUCGAACGGUAACAGGAAACAGCUUGCUGUUUCGCUGACGAGUGGCGGACGGGUGAGUAAUGUCUGGGAAACUGCCAGAUGGAGGGGGAUAACUACUGGAAACGGUAGCUAAUACCGCAUAACGUCGCAAGACCAAAGAGGGGGACCUUCGGGCCUCUUGCCAUCGGAUGUGCCCAGAUGGGAUUGGCUAGUUGGUGGGGUAACGGCUCACCAAGGCGACGAUCCCUAGCUGGUCUGAGAGGAUGACCAGCCACACUGGAACUGAGCCACGGUCCAGACUCCUACGGGAGGCAGCAGUGGGGAAUAUUGCACAAUGGGCGCAAGCCUGAUGCAGCCAUGCCGCGCGUAUGAAGAAGGCCUUCGGGUUGUAAAGUACUUUCAGCGGGGAGGAAGGGAGUAAAGUUAAUACCUUUGCCCAUUGACGUUACCCGCAGAAGAAGCACCGGCUAACUCCGUGCCAGCCGCCGCCGUAA